This 497-nucleotide ribosomal RNA is filed under the name Bothrops itapetiningae (Sao Paulo lancehead). Its description in RNAcentral is "partial 16S ribosomal RNA". It matches the Rfam family "Bacterial large subunit ribosomal RNA", at positions 1843 to 2609 of the family's 2925-position model. Lineage: Eukaryota; Metazoa; Chordata; Lepidosauria; Squamata; Viperidae. The record is from RNAcentral.
GUAUUAAAGGCGAUGCUGCCCAGUGAAAAAUUAAACGGCCGCGGUAUCCUAACCGUGCAAAGGUAGCAUAAUCAUUUGUCUAUUAAUUGUAGACCUGUAUGAAAGGCAAAAUGAGAGCCCGACUGUCUCUUAUAACAAAUCAAUUAAACUGAUCUCCUAGUACAAAAGCUAGGAUACUAACAUAAGACCAGAAGACCCUGUGAAGCUUUAAUUAACCUAUUAAAUCCAAUAAUACCUACUUUCGGUUGGGGCGACCUUGGAAUAAAAAAGAACUUCCAACCUAUGACUCCCUCAUAAAAAAGGCAAACAAGCCGACUCUAGACCCAGCACAGCUGACUAUUGAAACAAGUUACUCCAGGGAUAACAGCGCUAUCUUCUUUAAGAGCCCAUAUCAAAAAGAAGGUUUACGACCUCGAUGUUGGAUCAGGACACCCCAGUAAUGCAACCGUUACUAAAGGUUCGUUUGUUCAACGAUUAACAGUCCUACGUGAUCUGAG